CUACGGGUCGCUGCAGGCGAGAAAACUUUGCAAUGUGCGAAAGCACGACAAGGUUAAUCCGAGUGGUUUGUGCUAAACGAACCUUUUGACAGUCCUAGAAACACUGUUGAACAAGGGGUGGGCAAGUUCUGGUGUCAGCCGCCGCGGUAAAACCAGCACCUCAAGUGGUCAGGAUGAUUAUUGGGCCUAAAGCAUCCGUAGCCGGCUCUGUAAGUUUUCGGUUAAAUCUGUACGCUCAACGUACAGGCUGCCGGGAAUACUGCAGAGCUAGGGAGUGGGAGAGGUAGACGGUACUCGGUAGGAAGGGGUAAAAUCCUUUGAUCUAUUGAUGACCACCUGUGGCGAAGGCGGUCUACCAGAACACGUCCGACGGUGAGGGAUGAAAGCUGGGGGAGCAAACCGGAUUAGAUACCCGCGUAGUC
This 422-nucleotide ribosomal RNA is filed under the name uncultured archaeon. Its description in RNAcentral is "partial 16S ribosomal RNA". It matches the Rfam family "Archaeal small subunit ribosomal RNA", at positions 323 to 746 of the family's 1478-position model. The record is from RNAcentral.